Molecule: ribosomal RNA, 460 nt
Filed under: uncultured bacterium
Lineage: Bacteria
Description: partial 16S ribosomal RNA
Rfam family: Bacterial small subunit ribosomal RNA
Source: RNAcentral
CCUACGGGUGGCAGCAGUGAGGAAUAUUGGUCAAUGGACGAGAGUCUGAACCAGCCAAGUAGCGUGAAGGAUGACUGCCCUAUGGGUUGUAAACUUCUUUUAUAUGGGAAUAAAAUUCAGUAUGUAUACUGUUUUGUAUGUACCAUAUGAAUAAGCAUCGGCUAACUCCGUGCCAGCAGCCGCGGUAAUACGGAGGAUCCGAGCGUUAUCCGGAUUUAUUGGGUUUAAAGGGUGCGUAGGCGGACGCUUAAGUCAGUCGGGAAAUUUUGCGGUCCAACCGUAAAAUUGCAGUUGAUAGUGGGUGUCUUGAGUGCAGGAGAGGGAUGCGGAAUGCGUGGUGUAGCGGUGAAAUGCAUAGAUAGCACGCAGAACUCCGAUUGCGAAGGCAGCAUACUGGACUGUAACUGACGCUGAUGCUCGAAAGUGUGGGUAUCAAACAGGAUUAGAUACCCCUGUAGUC